RNAcentral lists this transfer RNA (77 nucleotides) under Bacillota bacterium. RNAcentral describes it as "tRNA-Arg". It matches the Rfam family "tRNA". From Rfam's summary of the family: Transfer RNA (tRNA) molecules are approximately 80 nucleotides in length. Lineage: Bacteria; Bacillati; Bacillota. The record is from RNAcentral.
CUCCCGGUAGCUCAGCUGGAUAGAGCAACGGACUUCUAAUCCGUAGGUCGCGGGUUCGAAUCCCCCCCGGGAGGCCA